RNAcentral lists this long non-coding RNA (443 nucleotides) under Oreochromis niloticus (Nile tilapia). RNAcentral's name for it is "lncRNA (ENSONIG00000029204.1)". Lineage: Eukaryota; Metazoa; Chordata; Actinopteri; Cichliformes; Cichlidae. The record is from RNAcentral.
AAUUUCCAGAAAGGCCUGGAGCUGAAGAAAGACAAUUUUUUCAGGAUUUUGGACAGGAAGGGGAGUUUAGAGAUUGGCCUAAAAUUUGAUAGAACUGAUGCAUUGAGAUUGUUUUUUUGUAGAUGCAGUUGUGCAGUUCAGUGAUGAUUAAUCAGCUCCUGUGUGGAAGUCACUGAAUGAGGUGAUAUCUUCCUUCCCUGGUGGAAUCUGACGCCUCAAAUGGCUCCUUGUGCUAAUGGAGUUAGAUCAGCCAUUAGCAAAGCAGAUUGAUUCAUUACACUAAUGUUAAUUUUCAAAAAAGGCCUGGGUCAUGUAGCAGCCAACAACUCCUCCAGAGUGUCACGACCUGCAGGAUCGGCAAGGCGCUGAUCAGAACCUCUCCACUCCUAGCCACCCUUCUCUUCUCUUUUUCUUCUCUCUCUCCCUCUCCCCUUCUCUCCCCU